Molecule: RNA transcript, 2859 nt
Organism: Oncorhynchus masou masou (cherry salmon)
Lineage: Eukaryota; Metazoa; Chordata; Actinopteri; Salmoniformes; Salmonidae
Gene name: high mobility group protein HMG-I/HMG-Y-like
Exons: 6
Source: RefSeq, a predicted model, not a curated record
CAUUCUACAAUAUGUUUUACUUCUAGUCUAGGGGCUCUAUUCUAUAGUCUGCUUCUCUAGUUGCUGUGCUGCACAGACUGGAAUUUAAGGGGCGGGCGUUGUGUAGCCUCUGUCGAAUAUAUAACAAGAGCUUUAGUUAAAGGAUUCAACCGGUAAAACAAGCGACUGGUUUGUGCGGGAAUUCGUUCGAGGGCCAUAAUCUUCAAGGGAUCAAGGAUUACAAAUCAACAUGAGUGACAAGGGUACCAUCUCACCAAAAGAGGAGGGGGCAGAGAAGAGGGGACGUGGAAGACCAAGGAAACAGCCACAGGUGAAAAGUGGUUCUGAUGAGCCCAGUGGGUCCCCUACUCCAAAGAGGCCCAGGGGAAGGCCAAAGGGUAGCAAGAACAAGACUGUCACCAAGGGCAAGAAGGCACCAGCAGCCUCAACUGCAGGGAUGAAACGCAGGGGAAGACCCAAGAAAGAGCUACCAGGUGUGAAGUCAACUACACCUGGAGUCUGUCGCGUCCUCUUUGAAACAACGCACAUUCCAGGUGGCACUGAUAGCUCCGAAUGAGGAAUUGGCAAAUUUUGGCCUACAAACUGACCCGUGGGACUUGUCUUCACACGAUUCUGAAGACAGCUGGGACGAGGAAAAGGAGGAACAGGCAACCCAGGAAUCAUCUGAAGAGGAGGGGGAGAAAGACCAGUAAACUUGCAACCCAUGCUACCUCACUCUACAUACUGACUCCCUGUCAACCAGAGCUAGGCUGAAUCUCCAAUACCGGUGCCACCCCAACCUCUUUUCUACAGUUCACUUUCUUGCCUUCUCGCUAAAGGUGGGUCAACAACACACUUCAUCCAACCUCUAUUUGCAACUGCACUGGAAAACCAAUGGAUGUUUCUUAACAAGCAUAUCUAUCAAAGAAUCACAGUACAGGCGACGGACAACCGUUUCUCUAUGUGUAUGUCGUGGUAUUGCAAGUCUUUUAUACUGGACAAAAAUGUGUUCUGAUGAGUUUUUGGACACGCUUCUUUCAAAAGACAGUGUAUAGCACAUUCUCUCGGCUUAGUGUUACUCAUUUUUUUCCCUAACACCGGUAUGUUGAGCUGGUGGGUCAUAUAAACUUGUUUUCUAUUGGACAAGAGGUGAAUUUUGCCUAUACUUGCUGUUUAAGUGUGAAGUGCUUAAUCUAUCCCUUACAUCAAUUUACCAGCGGAGAAGCUGAUAUGGAGAAAAUACAGUAUGAGCAUUAAAUAUAUUAUUAUAGACAUUAUAACCUCUGUAUUAGACCUCUCCCUGUUACUUCUUUGAUUGUGCAGAAUUGUUCCUCCCCCUCCCAUCCAAAAUAAGCUGUCCCCUAACUAGCCUCUGAUGUGGCUUGUGCUCGUCUCCCUAUAGCCUCUUCGGGGCUACACUGGAAAAGGCUUGUGUUAACUAAAGUGUACUGUUACUAAUCAAAGAUUUGAUCGGACUGAUUGUGUUUUAUCGUGUUCCUCUGGGUCAUAACAUACCCUCAAAUACCUGAGUAAUUGUGCUGCUUUGAUGUCUACAAAAACUCGUCAUAAUAAUGUCAUAAUGGCUUAAGGAUGGGUAGGGAUUCAUUGAUUGGGGAGCUACAUUCUCUCAGCACUCCAGGAAACUUUUUUUGAACUCUGUGGCAUCUGCUGUUCCUCUUAAUGUGGUCCUCCCAGUCUACAACAUUUGUUGCAACCCAUGGCCACUUGGUCAGCUCUAGGUGAACUGUGUAACAAACUGUUUGGCCAAACUAAGAGCUGGAUUGUUACUGUUGUGGCACUGUUUUAUCCAAUGGGUCUGUAUAAUAGCUGAUCAUUCCAUUUUCCCUCUCACUGCUUUACAAGGCCUGUUGUGUGUCGUCAUCACUUUGUACAGGAUGUUGAAAUAUUCUGCUUUUUCUGUGAGGAUAGUCAGUGUCUGCUGUCUACUCCAGAAAAACAAUGUUGUUUUGUUUGUGUUUCUCAGUGUCAGGGAUCUCAAGAUCACAGUCCAGUUACUGGGUCUCUCCUCAAACCUAUAAGCUGCUACAAUCUCAGUUAUAAAAACCCGGAAAACUGCAACGGGCCUGACAAGGCCCAGAAUCUCAUACCUCACUUGACGACAGCUUACUUUAAACUUUCCCAUAUUGCAUUCUUCAACUGGUUUCAAAUGUACAAUGUAAACUCUGGCAAGUGUGUGAGAAAUGUUUGUAUUACGUGGUCUUUUUUUAAUCUGACUGUUAUUUGGUAUUUUAAAGACUGCCUAGCCUAGCUACUAGUGAAGGUGUGCUCUCACACACCCCUCUGCUCCUCUUUGUUUUUAAAGCGAGCGUACAGAGACGGGUCACAAAAAUGUGUAAAGUCAUGAAGAUCUGUCAGCUUUGCAAAUUUGUGUUCGCUGACUGGUAGAUUAGACGGUGUGUUUUAUCUUUUUAAUAAAUCCUACUUCUGGUGCACUGAAAUGUUUGCUUGAUUCAGAUUGUCAUGUGUGUGUUUAGUGACAAAGACUGGGUGUUCUCUCCAGGUUAUUCUGUUGUAGACCUCGGUGCGGCUUUGGCACCAGGCGCUUUUCCAUGUAUGCAUUCCUCAAUGGCACCCUAUUCCCUUUAUAAUGCACUACUUUUGACCAGAGCCCUGGUCAAAAGUAGAGCACUAUAUAGUUAGAGUGCCAUUUGGGAUGCAUGAUGCUCAUGUGGAACUCCGGUAAUUACAUAUCCAUUCACAGCUGCAACUAUUUUGACUAUGUACCAACAUCAUCCAUGUUAUGUAAUUCAUUCAAGUUAAUGAGAUGGGGUCAUUCUUUUUAAUAUACAAUGUCUAUAUUUCUAUUGCGCACUAUGACAAUUUGUAUCCAGAAAGGGUCAAUAAAUACAAGAAUUUCUA